UUCAUCGUCGGACAUGACUACUCUACUACCAUGAUAUGCUUUAGCCCUGUCACUUCCUUCCACAAAACAGAAAAAUGUGUGACCGCUCCAGAAACCGUCCCCCAAAUUAGCUAUUAACUUCGUGUUAGAAUAGUUUUAACUAUCUAACAUAAAGCCCGUCUGCAAAGAAGACUGCCAGGAGCUGGGCAGUCCUGGUGGCGGUUCAGCAUUCCGUUGCUUAGAAACAGCCACUAUCCUCAAUCACUGCCAGAUGCAGAUCCUCAGGAAAAAGAAGAGGAGAGUGAGACAAACUCCCCAGGUUUGCAGGUGGCACUACCGUUUUGGACCUCAUCACUAACAAUGACAGGACCACCUACGGGGAAGAGAUUGCCUGCCUGUUGCUAUGGUGCUAAUAACAAGUUGGGGGCAAUGCAUUCAAGCAGUUAAGAUGAAGAUGGCUCCUGAUGUAAUCCACAUCCUCAUUUUACUCUGGAAAUCAGCACAGAUGUUAACAUGGCUGAGAACAUGAGUCUUUUGAUUUGCUAAAGACCAGAAACCUCUUACAGCCUCAAAUGGGAUGAGAUCAUUACGACUAUCAUCACAAGAUGGAAAGAGAAAGAAAGCCACAUGCUGUGUGCACAUAACAUCGGACCCCAGGAUGUCAGAGGGUCCAAACCACAAGGUCGCCCUCUACAGGACCAGGUUGAGUUAUGGCUACGUGCAAUAAAC
Molecule: long non-coding RNA, 708 nt
Organism: Micropterus dolomieu (smallmouth bass)
Lineage: Eukaryota; Metazoa; Chordata; Actinopteri; Centrarchiformes; Centrarchidae
Exons: 3
Source: RefSeq, a predicted model, not a curated record